RNAcentral lists this ribosomal RNA (510 nucleotides) under uncultured bacterium. RNAcentral describes it as "partial 16S ribosomal RNA". It matches the Rfam family "Bacterial small subunit ribosomal RNA", at positions 30 to 505 of the family's 1533-position model. The record is from RNAcentral.
ACGAACGCUGGCGGCGUGCUUAACACAUGCAAGUCGAACGAAAAGAGGGAAAGAGCUUGCUCUUUCCGGAAUUGAGUGGCAAACGGGUGAGUAACACGUAAACAACCUGCCUUCAGGAUGGGGACAACAGACGGAAACGACUGCUAAUACCGAAUAAGUUCCAAGAGCCGCAUGGCCCAUGGAAGAAAAGGUGGCCUCUACCUGUAAGCUAUCGCCUGAAGAGGGGUUUGCGUCUGAUUAGCUGGUUGGAGGGGUAACGGCCCACCAAGGCGACGAUCAGUAGCCGGUCUGAGAGGAUGAACGGCCACACUGGAACUGAGACACGGUCCAGACUCCUACGGGAGGCAGCGGUGGGGAAUCUUCCGAAAUGGGCGAAAGCCUGACGGAGCAACGCCGCGUGAGUGAUGACGGCCUUCGGGUUGUAAAACUCUGUGAUCCGGGACGAAAAGGCAGAGUGCGAAGAACAAACUGCAUUGACGGUACCGGAAAAGCAAGCCACGGCUAACUACG